GGUGAACGCUGGCGGCGUGCCUAAGACAUGCAAGUCGAGCGGGCCGCGGGGCUUUACUCCGUGGUCAGCGGCGGACGGGUGAGUAACGCGUGGGUGACCUACCCGGAAGAGGGGGACAACCCGGGGAAACUCGGGCUAAUCCCCCAUGUGGACCCGCCCCUUGGGGUGUGUCCAAAGGGCUUUGCCCGCUUCCGGAUGGGCCCGCGUCCCAUCAGCUAGUUGGUGGGGUAAUGGCCCCCCAAGGCGACGACGGGUAGCCGGCCUGAGAGGGUGGCCGGCCACAGGGGCCCUGAGACACGGGCCCCACUCCUCCGGGAGGCCGCAGUUAGGAAUCUUCCGCAAUGGGCGCAAGCCUGACGGCGCGACGCCGCUUGGAGGGAGAAGCCCUUCGGGGUGUAAACUCCUGAACCCGGGACGAAACCCCCGACGAGGGGACUGACGGUACCGGGGUAAUAGCGCCGGCCAACUCCGUG
Molecule: ribosomal RNA, 473 nt
Filed under: uncultured bacterium
Lineage: Bacteria
Description: partial 16S ribosomal RNA
Rfam family: Bacterial small subunit ribosomal RNA
Source: RNAcentral